RNAcentral lists this transfer RNA (56 nucleotides) under Argulus americanus. RNAcentral's name for it is "tRNA-Ala". The record is from RNAcentral. Lineage: Eukaryota; Metazoa; Arthropoda; Ichthyostraca; Arguloida; Argulidae.
AAAACUAUAGUUAAUUAAUAACAUUUAUUUUGCAAAUAAAAAUUGCUAAAGGAAGC